This 374-nucleotide ribosomal RNA is filed under the name uncultured organism. RNAcentral's name for it is "bacterial SSU rRNA". It matches the Rfam family "Bacterial small subunit ribosomal RNA", at positions 526 to 896 of the family's 1533-position model. The record is from RNAcentral.
CGGGGGGAGCGAGCGUUGUUCGGAUUUACUGGGCGUAAAGGGCGCGUAGGCGGCCACCGCAAGUCGACUGUGAAAUCUCCGGGCUUAACCCGGAACGGUCAGCCGAUACUGCGGGGCUAGAGUGCAGAAGGGGCAACUGGAAUUCUCGGUGUAGCGGUGAAAUGCGUAGAUAUCGAGAGGAACACCUGCGGCGAAGGCGGGUUGCUGGGCUGACACUGACGCUGAGGCGCGAAAGCUAGGGGAGCGAACGGGAUUAGAUACCCCGGUAGUCCUAGCCUUAAACGAUGAAUGCUUGGUGUCUGGGGUUUUAUAGUCCCCGGGUGCCGUCGCUAACGCUUUAAGCAUUCCGCCUGGGGAGUACGGUCGCAAGACUG